This is an RNA transcript of Neolamprologus brichardi, 2089 nucleotides long. It is a transcript of the gene named TAFA chemokine like family member 5a, with no coding region annotated. Lineage: Eukaryota; Metazoa; Chordata; Actinopteri; Cichliformes; Cichlidae. The record is from RefSeq and is a predicted model, not a curated record.
GUGCCCAAACCGAGAGCUUGAAGGACCCCCCCCCCCAAAUCUCUCUUUCUCUUUUAUGACCAACCCUCUUUCAUCCAGGCAGGCGUUUGUUCGCUGGAUUUUAUAAGAGCCUGUUUAAUUACAUAUAUAUAUAUUUUAAACACAGUCUAUGAGCUACAGUGUCGGGGCUGCUGAGACUGAAGAGAAUCGAGGAAACCUACCACAGGUGAAAGGAGCUUUUACGACGCUGCGGUACAGAUGAUUGAACACUUUAGCAGUAACUCAGCGCAAUCUCCCCGCUUACUCUGACUGAAACGGGGCGGAAAUUGAGGCUAAAACACUUUGGAACAACUAAAAAGGGACCAAGUUCUGUUUCCGAGCGAAUCUAAAACCCGCUGCGUUGUUUCCCCAACUGGGCUUUCAGUGGAAGAUGUGACCUUUUCUGUUGCGCCCCGUGGAGCAAAUCACUGCUUUUUUUCCUUUUGUUAUUGGUUCUCUUUUGUUUUGUUUUUUUGUUUUGUUUUUUCCACCCCCUAAUCAGUUACUCGAGCUCGACAUGCCUUUUUGUGGGAUUACACGCGGAGAUAUGAUCACUGUGAGAGACCGAGCUGGAUUGUGAAUUUACUGUCAGCGCUUUUUUUUUCCUUCUUUAUUUUUUCUUUAUUUCUUCUUCCUUUUUUAAAACUUGUCUCCAUAACGAAGGAAGUGCUCUAGCUGUUUUCUUCAAUGGCUUCAGUGUCAAGGUUGGCAAGACGCAAAGAUGCCAGUCGCUGGCCGAGAAUGUCGUCAAGUUUCUGGGCUGUGCUGCUCCUGACAGCGCUGCUGCUUCUCUAUUGCGGCCAGCUGGCAGCGGGGACAUGUGAGAUUGUGACGCUGGACAGGGACAGCAGCCAACCACGGCGGACCAUCGCCAGGCAGACGGCCCGCUGCGCCUGUAAGAAGGGCCAGAUCGCUGGAACUACAAGAGCUAGACCCGCCUGUGUGGACGCUGGUAUUGUUCGGAAAAAGCAAUGGUGUGAGAUGGUGCCGUGUUUGGAGGACGAGGGUUGCGACCUGUUAGUCAAUAGAUCUGGCUGGACUUGUACGCAGCCCGGAGGCCGAGUUAAAACCACUACGGCUCUAUGACGUGACAAGAGUCCCCCUCGACACUCUUGCACUAUGGAAAGCAUUGAUGACCCCUUGACAGACAGCCAAUUUCCAGCUACCACCACCACCACCACCAUUACAACAGCUCCACCCUUACCUUGGCCUCAAAGGCAGGAAGCAACACAAGCAGCUACAGAGCACCAAGAGCCUUGUGGAGGCAGUAAGGUCUCGUAACACAGCCAGAGACGGGAAAACCAGGGAGUGAUUGUUUGAGGGAGUCAUCUCUCCCUGUGACACUGGACAAACUUACUAUAAAACACUUCCUGUUUCCUGUGACUGGCCACCGCGGGUUUCUGACUGCUCCCUCCUGCUAUCUGUCGUUGGGUCAACACGUUGUAUCCACCUCCUCUCCACUGUUAUCUGCCUGCUCUGUGAAUUUAGCAGCACAUGCUCAUGCCACGGAGGUUCGGACACCUUAAAAUCCCAUGAAUGUUUGUUUGGUUUUUUUUUUGCCUCACUGGAAGUCCACUGUUUGGAGCUGCUAACUGCUUUUAAUACGGGAUUUCCCACAUCUCUCUCCUAGACUCUAGUGCAGGAGUUCCAGGGCGAAGACGGGGUCAUUACAGAACACAAUGUGACGCUUCUCAGACCAGCUCGCGAGGCCGUAAAAACCGAACCGAGCGCACUCUGCUGUGAAUAGGCCUUCUGCUGGAGUAAACCUCCCAUAUUUUUAUAGACCAAAGAGCAAAACAACAAAUAUGAUCAUUAUGACAGAGAGGACCAUCUGGCAAAGACACACGGAAACGUUGUUAACAUGCUUUGAGUGUCGCCACCGACCAACGACUGCCCCCACAGAGACUCCGUGCACAAACGAACCUUUGCAGCCGGCGGCGUACGUGCCGAACACAAUCAAAGGAGUACUUUUCAAACUUUACGGACAUUUUUUCGCAGACUAAGCUCACCACUGUAUUUUGGAACUGGAGAUAUAGGUACUACAUACGUAUAACUGUGUAUCAAAAAAAAA